This 497-nucleotide ribosomal RNA is filed under the name uncultured bacterium. RNAcentral's name for it is "partial 16S ribosomal RNA". It matches the Rfam family "Bacterial small subunit ribosomal RNA", at positions 28 to 507 of the family's 1533-position model. The record is from RNAcentral.
GACGAACGCUGGCGGCGUGCCUAAUACAUGCAAGUUGAGCGCUGAAGGUUGGUGCUUGUACCAAUUGGAUGAGCAGCGAACGGGUGAGUAACGCGUGGGGAAUCUGCCUUUGAGCGGGGGACAACAUUUGGAAACGAAUGCUAAUACCGCAUAAAAACUUUAAACAUAAGUUUUAAGUUUGAAAGAUGCAAUUGCAUCACUCAAAGAUGAUCCCGCGUUGUAUUAGCUAGUUGGUGAGGUAAAGGCUCACCAAGGCGAUGAUACAUAGCCGACCUGAGAGGGUGAUCGGCCACAUUGGGACUGAGACACGGCCCAAACUCCUACGGGAGGCAGCAGUAGGGAAUCUUCGGCAAUGGACGAAAGUCUGACCGAGCAACGCCGCGUGAGUGAAGAAGGUUUUCGGAUCGUAAAACUCUGUUGGUAGAGAAGAACGUUGGUGAGAGUGGAAAGCUCAUCAAGUGACGGUAACUACCCAGAAAGGGACGGCUAACUACGUG